UCCCCCACCCCCCCUCCUUUGUUUCUGACUCGCCGAGGGUGAAGAAGACAGACCUAAACCCAGCCGGAGAGAGCGGCUCCCCGGGCGAGGGCGGGGGGUGGGGAGGGCGCGGGACCCACGCUCGCACCUGCGGCGGGAGCCGGGGGUGGAGCCCGAGACAGCGACCCGCCCGACCUGUCCGGACCGCCCGCGGAGGUGGCAGGAACGGAUAAUGCAGAGAGAUCUAGCAAGACCGAGAGAACCUAGUCCAGAUGGUCUCCCUCCCAAAGGCGAAACAAAAGCAAGAGCGGGAGGUGGGAGGGCGCUCGCCUGAGGGAGAACCGGCAUCUGGAAUUCACACUCCCUGGGUGGUGGAGAUAGUGGCCUGGGUAGGUCAGGUAUUGGGGAAAAGUUUUCUGUGCCCCGAGGAGGGGGGUAUGGAUGGGUAGGGGCGCGCGGGGGGAGUGGAGUUCGUAUUAAUCUACAUUGCUACCAGUUUGCAAAGCCUCAGGCCUUCUUUGAGCCUCCUAAGUACGAAGUGGACAUACGUGUGAUCUCCAUUGCUCAUGGAGAAGAGUGAGACUCGGGAUGGCCCAGGGAUAUGCAGACACACACGCACUGUCUCCUCAGUGAGCUUGAUACCAUGAUACACACAAGCCACAAAGACGACUCAAGCCAAUUUCUUUCUUUUGGUGGAGCGAAGAUACCAGGAGGACUUGUGAUGGGGUGACCUCCCUAAUGGCAUCAUUGUGGAUCUGGCAGAUUCUGGACUUGGAGGACUUAAAUUCCAAACUCCUUUGCAGAAGAAAAAAAAAAGAUGAUGAAAUAGAGGGAAAGGAGUAGAAGUGAAAUUUAUUUAUUUCGCUACUGAAAUCCAGGCACUUCUGUGUGGCCCGGUUUUUGGCCAGUUGGACUGGAGACACUUCAAGGGCAGAAAACAAGUAUCAGGGAAUGAGGGAGCAUUGCUUUCUUGAGAGAGAACACAAGAAGUCUCUGACUGGUGACUUACAGUAAGAACGAAACAAAUGGGCUGAGAAGCCCUACGGGAAUUUACCAGGUGAUUUCUGCUUCACUUCAGACUCUGCAACCAGUGCAAAGAAAAGAAGUAAAUUCACUGAAAUUAUACUUCAGGAUCCUCCUCUGUGUAUCAACAAGACCCCAUAUUCUUGACGGCAAAGAGAAAAGACUAUUUAUAUUUGCCAAGUCUAAUUUUGUUUGUGACUUUUAAAAAACUAUCUAUUUGAGGACUUUGAUGAGUCACUGCAGAAUGCUUUAAAAAUUAUGGGCGAGGAACAUAUUGGUAUCUAUACCCCAAAUUUAGACUAUGUUUAAAAACACAACAACAGAAGAA
This is a long non-coding RNA of Lutra lutra (Eurasian river otter), 1330 nucleotides long. RefSeq lists it as uncharacterized. The transcript is spliced from 3 exons. NCBI's taxonomy places the organism in Eukaryota, Metazoa, Chordata, Mammalia, Carnivora, Mustelidae. The record is from RefSeq and is a predicted model, not a curated record.